Molecule: ribosomal RNA, 285 nt
Filed under: Triticum aestivum (bread wheat)
Lineage: Eukaryota; Viridiplantae; Streptophyta; Magnoliopsida; Poales; Poaceae
Description: partial small subunit ribosomal RNA
Source: RNAcentral
UGAGCAGGGCGAGCACCGCCACUCCUCACCUCCCUCGCUUGAUUCUUGCAGUUCACGAGCACGACAGCUAGGAGUGCAGAUAAAAUGUCGUUGCAGGUUAGUUGUGGUCGUUGGUGCAGUUCCCCGGCGUGUGGGGGUUCGGUUUAAGUCAUGCUACGCUGCAGUGUGGAUGCGUGUGGGCAUGUAUUUCACUUGGUGUGGGCAGGAGGUUCUGCAGCUGUCGCAUUGCAUUUCGCCGGAGGAAACAACAAUUCGGUUCAGAAACCGACGUGGUUAAAUUUUUUU